This 1536-nucleotide ribosomal RNA is filed under the name metagenome. RNAcentral describes it as "bacterial LSU rRNA". It matches the Rfam family "Bacterial large subunit ribosomal RNA", at positions 1278 to 2925 of the family's 2925-position model. The record is from RNAcentral.
UUGAUUUCAAAAGAAAAUGUAGGUAUAAGUAACGAUAAAUGAAGUGAAAAACUUCAUCGCCGAAAGUCUAAGGGUUCCUGAUCAACGUUAAUCGGAUCAGGGUUAGUCUGGACCUUAGGAAAACCCGAAAGGGGCAUCUGAUGGAAAACUGGUUAAUAUUCCAGUACCUGCUAUGCAUUAAAAGUGACGGAGAAUGCUAGCCACAUAAGCUGACGGAAUAGCUGAGCGGAUCCUUCGGGUGAGGCGUAGUGGUGAAAGUUCUUCCAAGAAAAGCGAGUAUAGCGGCCAGUACCGCAAACCGACACAGGUAGACGGGAUGAGUAUUCUAAGGCGCUCGGGUGAGCCGUGGAGAAGGAACUAGGCAAAUUAACGCUGUAACUUCGGGAUAAAGCGUUCCCGAUGCAUAAUCGGGACACAGUAAAAUGGUUCAACCAACUGUUUAACAAAAACACAGGGCCCUGCAAAAUCGAAAGAUGACGUAUAGAGCCUGAAACCUGCCCGGUGCCGGAAGGUUAAGGAAGGAUGUUCGACGCAAGUCAAAGCUUCUGACUGAAGCCCCGGUAAACGGCGGCCGUAACGAUAACGGUCCUAAGGUAGCGAAAUUCCUUGUCGGGUAAGUUCCGACCUGCACGAAGGGUCUAAUGAGUUGAACACUGUCUCCUCCACGAGCCCGGUGAAAUUGUAGUAUCGGUGAAGAUGCCGGUUACCCGCCACGGGACGGAAAGACCCCGUGAACCUUCACUACAACUUUGCAUUGAUUUUGAGCAACCGAUGUGUAGGAUAGUUGGGAGACUUCGAAGCAGUGUCGCUAGGCAUUGUGGAGUCAACGUUGAAAUACCAACCUUCGAUUGCUUAGAACCUAACCCAUUUUUGGGAACAGUGCAUGGUGGGUAGUUUGACUGGGGUGGUCGCCUCCUAAAAAGUAACGGAGGCUUGCAAAGGUACCCUCAAUACGGUUGGUAAUCGUAUAUAGAGCGCAUUAGUAUAAGGGUGCUUGACUGUGAGGCAUACAGGCCGAGCAGGGACGAAAGUCGGCUAAAGUGAUCCGGUGGUUCUGUAUGGAAGGGCCAUCGCUCAAAGGAUAAAAGGUACUCCCGGGAUAACAGGCUGAUCUUACCCAAGAGCUCAUAUCGACGGUAAGGUUUGGCACCUCGAUGUCGGUUCGUCACAUCCUGGGGCUGGAGAAGGUCCCAAGGGUUCGGCUGUUCGCCGAUUAAAGUGGCACGUGAACUGGGUUCAGAACGUCGCAAGACAGUUCGGUCCCUAUCUGUGGUGGGCGCAAGUAAAUUGAGAGGACGUGACCUUAGUACGAGAGGACCGGGUCGCAUGUACCGCUGGUGUAUCAGUUGUGCCGCCAGGUGCAAUGCUGAGUAGCUAUGUACAGUCAGGAUAAACGCUGAAAGCAUCUAAGCGUGAAACCUUCCUCAAGAUGAGUUUACUUUUAAGGGUCGUAGUAGACGACUACGUUGAUAGGCUAUAGGUGUACAGUUAGCAAUAACAAAGCCGAGUAGUACUAAUUGCCCGUAAGCUUUAAUC